Long non-coding RNA from Symphalangus syndactylus (siamang), 262 nucleotides. RefSeq lists it as uncharacterized. The record is from RefSeq and is a predicted model, not a curated record. NCBI's taxonomy places the organism in Eukaryota, Metazoa, Chordata, Mammalia, Primates, Hylobatidae.
UAAAGGAAUUUAAUUGAACAAUGAACAAUUCGUGAAUCGGGCAGCCCCCAGAAUCACGGCAGAUUCACAGAGACUCCAGCACAGUCACAUGGUAGAAGAAGAUUUAUAGGCCAAAAAAAAAAAAAAAAAAAAAGAGGAAAUGAUGUCCAGAAAUCGGAAGUGAGGUACAGAACAGCUGGAUUGGUUACAGUGGAUGGGAGUUCUGAAGACUCUGUAAUCAGGCUUUCCGGCAAACAGGCAAUCGAUGAUUUACAGCCUACAU